GGCCCCCUCCUCAGCCUGGGUUCCCCAAUAUGGUCCCACAUGAGGACAUCAUCCCCCCUCCAACAUGGGCCCCAGACACCCGCCCAUAGGCCUCAUGUGCUUUCCACUAGGAGCCCCACUUGACCCCCUCUAGAGCCUCCAUCAACUCAGCUUCUCCCCACAUAGACUUCAUCCCGGGACCCUGGAGGGUACUGAGGAGCUGCGAUUCUCCACCCUGGAAUCUGCCUGGGGCGCACUUCCCGGAUCGCCGGAGAGAAGGGGGUGACGGAGCUUGUAAAUGCCCAGUUGGGCUGCCGGUGGAAGAAGCGGCGGGAAGAUCGCUGGCAGGGCACGGCCCUCGUGAGUCGCCCUCCCUGCGUGUGUACAUCUCUCCUUCCUGAUUAUAAAACCCACACACGUGCACAUGAAAGUUCUCCAAAGGAUCAAGAAGGAAAAAAUCACGUGGACUACUCCUCCACUUUCACUUGUCAUAAGCAUUUCUCAUGUCAUUAAAAAUCCUUCCUAAAUGUUUUUGUUCCUUUUUUUUUUCUUCAUGAUGAAGGUCAAACAUGAUCAAAAUACCAUUUGGGGGAGAUUAAGAGAAGUAUUAAGAAUGUAGCAUUUGGCUGGCCGCCUUUGGGGCUCUCCCGGCGUCCCUUUUUGGGACCCUCAUAUGUCAUUUGCAUCCCACUUUACCCUGUACCUCAUACCAUCUGUCACGUCUGCCCGCCUUGAGCAUGUUAUGUUAUCGUGCAUUUUACAGUCAUAAGUUCUCCACGAUGUGAUGGGAGGGUAGUUGAUCUCGCCAGGCUUGACUGUUGGGCACUUCUGUUGUGAUUCUUGGUGCCUAAAUCUUUGUCCCAAUUUCAGAUAGAUUGC
Molecule: long non-coding RNA, 858 nt
Filed under: Neogale vison (American mink)
Lineage: Eukaryota; Metazoa; Chordata; Mammalia; Carnivora; Mustelidae
Description: Neovison vison (American mink) lncRNA (ENSNVIG00000013492.1)
Source: RNAcentral